CCUACGGGUGGCAGCAGUGGGGAAUAUUGGACAAUGGGCGAAAGCCUGAUCCAGCCAUGCCGCGUGUGUGAAGAAGGCCUUCGGGUUGUAAAGCACUUUCAGUGGGGAAGAAAGCCUUGGGGCUAAUACCCUCGAGGAAGGACAUCACCCACAGAAGAAGCACCGGCUAACUCCGUGCCAGCAGCCGCGGUAAUACGGAGGGUGCGAGCGUUAAUCGGAAUUUCUGGGCGUAAAGCGCGCGUAGGCGGUCUGAUAAGCCGGUUGUGAAAGCCCCGGGCUCAACCUGGGAACGGCAUCCGGAACUGUCAGGCUAGAGUGCAGGAGAGGAAGGUAGAAUUCCCGGUGUAGCGGUGAAAUGCGUAGAGAUCGGGAGGAAUACCAGUGGCGAAGGCGGCCUUCUGGACUGACACUGACGCUGAGGUGCGAAAGCGUGGGUAGCAAACAGGAUUAGAUACCCUAGUAGUC
RNAcentral lists this ribosomal RNA (465 nucleotides) under Vreelandella stevensii. RNAcentral's name for it is "partial 16S ribosomal RNA". It matches the Rfam family "Bacterial small subunit ribosomal RNA", at positions 338 to 795 of the family's 1533-position model. Lineage: Bacteria; Pseudomonadati; Pseudomonadota; Gammaproteobacteria; Oceanospirillales; Halomonadaceae. The record is from RNAcentral.